GAUGAAGAACGUAGCGAAAUGCGAUAAGUAAUGUGAAUUGCAGAAUUCAGUGAAUCAUCGAAUCUUUGAACGCUCAUUGCGCCCGGUAGUAAUCUGCCGGGCAUGCCUGUCCGAGCGUCAUUUCAACCCUCGAACCACUAUUCGCGUAGCUGGAUCGGUGUUGGGGCACUACGGUGGAAUACCCGUAGGCCCCGAAAUGAAGUGGCGGUCCCGCCGCGGCGCCCCCAUGCGUAGUAACAUCUCGUCUCGCAUCGGGUCCCGGCGGAGGCCUGCCGUCAAGCCUAUUUUCUAAUUACAGAUGGUUUGACCUCGGAUCAGGUAGGGUUACCCGCUGAACUUAAGCAUAUCAAUAACGGAGGA
RNAcentral lists this unclassified non-coding RNA (360 nucleotides) under soil metagenome. Its description in RNAcentral is "partial contains 5.8S ribosomal RNA, internal transcribed spacer 2, and large subunit ribosomal RNA". The stretch from base 1 to 120 matches the Rfam family "5.8S ribosomal RNA", at positions 35 to 154 of the family's 154-position model. The record is from RNAcentral.